ACGGGUGAGUAAUACAUCGGAACGUGCCCUGUAGUGGGGGAUAACUAGUCGAAAGAUUAGCUAAUACCGCAUACGACCUGAGGGUGAAAGUGGGGGACCGCAAGGCCUCAUGCUAUAGGAGCGGCCGAUGUCUGAUUAGCUAGUUGGUGGGGUAAAGGCCCACCAAGGCGACGAUCAGUAGCUGGUCUGAGAGGACGAUCAGCCACACUGGGACUGAGACACGGCCCAGACUCCUACGGGAGGCAGCAGUGGGGAAUUUUGGACAAUGGGGGCAACCCUGAUCCAGCAAUGCCGCGUGUGUGAAGAAGGCCUUCGGGUUGUAAAGCACUUUUGUCCGGAAAGAAAUCGCACUUACUAAUAUUAGGUGUGGAUGACGGUACCGGAAGAAUAAGGACCGGCUAACUACGUGCCAGCAGCCGCGGUAAUACGUAGGGUCCAAGCGUUAAUCGGAAUUACUGGGCGUAAAGCGUGCGCAGGCGGUUGUGCAAGACCGAUGUGAAAUCCCCAGGCUUAACCUGGGAAUUGCAUUGGUGACUGCACGGCUAGAGUGUGUCAGAGGGGGGUAGAAUUCCACGU
This 576-nucleotide ribosomal RNA is filed under the name uncultured bacterium. RNAcentral describes it as "bacterial SSU rRNA". It matches the Rfam family "Bacterial small subunit ribosomal RNA", at positions 102 to 674 of the family's 1533-position model. The record is from RNAcentral.